GCUCCGCCUCCGCGGUCCACGCCUGCUCCGCCCGCCCGCCCGCGCCCUCCCCUGCUGCUCCGGACUCCGGUGCUCGCCGGCUCGCCGCCUCGACCUCUCCUGGCUCCAUGCUGCCACGCCGUCUUCCCUCAAUCCCUCUGCUGAGUGGAGUGCUGACUGCUACCCAGAAUUGAAAUAAAAGAUGAAGAGAUUUUUCAUCCACGGCCGCAACAGAAGUGUCUACACCCGGAGUUUUAGCAGGGAAUCAAGGGGCGAGAGGACUGAAGUCAUUGAUUUGGUACUCUUUUUACUGCAUGUACUGUUCGUACUUUUUGUCAUUUUUUUAUCUAUUUUUGGUAUAUCUUUAAGCAUUGAGUUUAAAUUCAAAAUUAUUGAUACAAUUGAGCCAUAUUUGAGGUAGCUAUAGUUUGAUGGAGGUUAAGUUUUUCUCUCGCAAAAUUUUUUUUUUUGGGCCCUGGGCUUGCUCCAUUCCUGGAUCCGUCACUGAUGGUGGGGUGUUACCGGAAUCGACAAGGACCUGGAUAGGAAGGGAAACAGGGAGCAGCAGGGAGCGUGAGGUGGAUAUGAAGGCAACCAGCCAUGGGGCUGCUGGUCAACUGACGGGGCCAGGUGUGGUGCCCCAUCAGGAGCCAUGAAUUGCCUCAGUUGAAACGGUCGGGGAGUUGAAACAAACCGACAGUUCAGGAUCUGGUAGCCCUUGUUAAGGCUACCGAGGUGAGGAUAGUGUUCUUAUGUGAAACCAGGCAAAGUUCAGAAAAAGUUCGACGUCUGCGUAAUAGGCUGGGUCUCAAAGGUUUUGCUGGUGUUGAUAGUGUGGGUCUUAGUGGUGGUCUUGCAUUAUUUUGGUGUGAUCAGAUAUACGUUGAUGUCAAAGAUAUGAAUGAAAGGUUUAUCAAUGCGUA
Aegilops tauschii subsp. strangulata is the source of this 902-nucleotide long non-coding RNA. RefSeq lists it as uncharacterized. NCBI's taxonomy places the organism in Eukaryota, Viridiplantae, Streptophyta, Magnoliopsida, Poales, Poaceae. The record is from RefSeq and is a predicted model, not a curated record.